AUCUUCAGGGAUGGGUGAAAUUCCCUAUCGGCGGUAAAGCCCGCGAGCCGAAAGGCAGGAUCCGGUGAAACUCCGGGGCCGACAGUAUAGUCUGGAUGGAAGAAGAU
This 107-nucleotide non-coding RNA is filed under the name uncultured Clostridium sp. Its description in RNAcentral is "FMN riboswitch (RFN element)". It matches the Rfam family "FMN riboswitch aptamer (RFN element)". Rfam says of the family: The RFN element is a highly conserved domain that is found frequently in the 5'-untranslated regions of prokaryotic mRNAs that encode for flavin mononucleotide (FMN) biosynthesis and transport proteins. This element is a metabolite-dependent riboswitch that directly binds FMN in the absence of proteins. In Bacillus subtilis, the riboswitch most likely controls gene expression by causing premature transcription termination within the 5' untranslated region of the ribDEAHT operon and precluding access to the ribosome-binding site of ypaA mRNA. Lineage: Bacteria; Bacillati; Bacillota; Clostridia; Eubacteriales; Clostridiaceae. The record is from RNAcentral.